Molecule: ribosomal RNA, 722 nt
Filed under: uncultured Acidobacteriota bacterium
Lineage: Bacteria; Pseudomonadati; Acidobacteriota
Description: bacterial SSU rRNA
Rfam family: Bacterial small subunit ribosomal RNA
Source: RNAcentral
AACGCUGGCGGCGUGCAUGAGACAUGCAAGUCGAACGGGUGACUCGGGCUUGCUCGAGUCGCUAGUGGCGAACGGCUGAGUAACGCGUAGGCGACCUGCCCCGAAGUGGGGAAUAACUGCCCGAAAGGGUGGCUAAUACCGCAUGUGGUCGUGCGUUCGAUCGCACGAUCAAAGCCGCAAGGCGCUUCGGGAGGGGCCUGCGUCCGAUUAGCUCGUUGGUGGGGUAAUGGCCUACCAAGGCGACGAUCGGUAGGUGGUCUGAGAGGACGAUCACCCAGACUGGGACUGAGACACGGCCCAGACUCCUACGGGAGGCAGCAGUCGGGAAUUUUGCUCAAUGGGCGAAAGCCUGAAGCAGCAACGCCGCGUGAGGGAUGGAGGCCUUCGGGUCGUAAACCUCUUUUCUCAGGGACGAUGAUGACGGUACCUGAGGAAUAAGCCACGGCAAACUACGUGCCAGCAGCCGCGGUAAUACGUAGGUGGCAAGCGUUGUCCGGAUUUACUGGGCGUAAAGAGCGCGCAGGCGGCCGGCCAAGUCGGAUGUGAAAGUCCCUGGCUCAACUGGGGAAAGUCAUUCGAUACUGAUCGGCUCGAAGGCAGGAGAGGGAAGCGGAAUUCCCGGUGUAGUGGUGAAAUGCGUAGAUAUCGGGAGGAACACCAGUGGCGAAGGCGGCUUCCUGGCCUGUUCUUGACGCUGAGGCGCGAAAGCUAGGGAGCGAACG